RNAcentral lists this long non-coding RNA (457 nucleotides) under Olea europaea (common olive). RNAcentral describes it as "long non-coding RNA (OEUR_LNC005171)". Lineage: Eukaryota; Viridiplantae; Streptophyta; Magnoliopsida; Lamiales; Oleaceae. The record is from RNAcentral.
AAAACAUAAACCUGUAAUUGCACCACACAAACGUGGAAGGGGUAGGUGGCAAGCCAGUGUGGGCUCCAUUCUUCACCCAACUCUUGCUUGAUUCACGAGGCGUCCCUCUUUUACACCAACUGCAGCCAGUCGGAUACUCAUAUAUAUAUAUAUAUAUAUAUAUAUAUAUACACACACUUUCCCACACUUGAAAAUUUGCCUUCAAUUCCACUCUUAUCAGACCCACCGAUAACGGUGCAUAAUGGCGUCGUCCAUCUCCACCAAACCUUUUCUCGGAGCUUCAUCCUCCGACGGAUCCUCUUUUGGAUCCCUCCAAUCGUCCUCCAGACUCUGCGCUCCCUGUCUUCAGCUCCCUGCUCGCCGAUCCCAACCCAAACGCCUUGGUUAGUGAUUUAUUUGUGUUUUCUUACAUCCAAAUUUGGAUUUUAAUUAAUGGGUUUUCUUAUUGCGAUUUUCU